This 465-nucleotide ribosomal RNA is filed under the name uncultured bacterium. RNAcentral's name for it is "partial 16S ribosomal RNA". It matches the Rfam family "Bacterial small subunit ribosomal RNA", at positions 28 to 507 of the family's 1533-position model. The record is from RNAcentral.
GACGAACGCUGGCGGCGUGCUUAACACAUGCAAGUCGAACGGAAAGGCCCUGCUUGCAGGGUACUCGAGUGGCGAACGGGUGAGUAACACGUGGGUGAUCUGCCCUGCACUUCGGGAUAAGCCUGGGAAACUGGGUCUAAUACCGGAUAGGAGCCAUUUUUAGUGUGAUGGUUGGAAAGUUUUUUCGGUGUAGGAUGAGCUCGCGGCCUAUCAGCUUGUUGGUGGGGUAAUGGCCUACCAAGGCGGCGACGGGUAGCCGGCCUGAGAGGGUGGACGGCCACAUUGGGACUGAGAUACGGCCCAGACUCCUACGGGAGGCAGCAGUGGGGAAUAUUGCGCAAGGGGCGCAAGCCUGAUGCAGCGACGCCGCGUGGGGGAUGACGGCCUUCGGGUUGUAAACUCCUUUCGCUAGGGACGAAGCUUUUUGUGACGGUACCUAGAUAAGAAGCACCGGCUAACUACGUG